AGAGUUUGAUCCUGGCUCAGAUUGAACGCUGGCGGCAUGCUUUACACAUGCAAGUCGGACGGCAGCACAGAGAAGCUUGCUUCUUGGGUGGCGAGUGGCGAACGGGUGAGUAACAUAUCGGAACGUACCGAGUAGUGGGGGAUAACUGAUCGAAAGAUCAGCUAAUACCGCAUACGUCUUGAGAGGGAAAGCAGGGGACCUUCGGGCCUUGCGCUAUUCGAGCGGCCGAUAUCUGAUUAGCUGGUUGGUGGGGUAAAGGCCCACCAAGGCGACGAUCAGUAGCGGGUCUGAGAGGAUGAUCCGCCACACUGGGACUGAGACACGGCCCAGACUCCUACGGGAGGCAGCAGUGGGGAAUUUUGGACAAUGGGCGCAAGCCUGAUCCAGCCAUGCCGCGUGUCUGAAGAAGGCCUUCGGGUUGUAAAGGACUUUUGUCAGGGAAGAAAAGGCUGUUGCUAAUAUCAGCGGCUGAUGACGGUACCUGAAGAAUAAGCACCGGCUAACUACGUGCCAGCAGCCGCGGUAAUACGUAGGGUGCGAGCGUUAAUCGGAAUUACUGGGCGUAAAGCGGGCGCAGACGGUUACUUAAGCAGGAUGUGAAAUCCCCGGGCUCAACCUGGGAACUGCGUUCUGAACUGGGUGACUCGAGUGUGUCAGAGGGAGGUAGAAUUCCACGUGUAGCAGUGAAAUGCGUAGAGAUGUGGAGGAAUACCGAUGGCGAAGGCAGCCUCCUGGGAUAACACUGACGUUCAUGCCCGAAAGCGUGGGUAGCAAACAGGAUUAGAUACCCUGGUAGUCCACGCCCUAAACGAUGUCAAUUAGCUGUUGGGCAACUUGAUUGCUUGGUAGCGUAGCUAACGCGUGAAAUUGACCGCCUGGGGAGUACGGUCGCAAGAUUAAAACUCAAAGGAAUUGACGGGGACCCGCACAAGCGGUGGAUGAUGUGGAUUAAUUCGAUGCAACGCGAAGAACCUUACCUGGUCUUGACAUGUACGGAAUCCUCCAGAGACGGAGGAGUGCCUUCGGGAGCCGUAACACAGGUGCUGCAUGGCUGUCGUCAGCUCGUGUCGUGAGAUGUUGGGUUAAGUCCCGCAACGAGCGCAACCCUUGUCAUUAGUUGCCAUCAUUCAGUUGGGCACUCUAAUGAGACUGCCGGUGACAAGCCGGAGGAAGGUGGGGAUGACGUCAAGUCCUCAUGGCCCUUAUGACCAGGGCUUCACACGUCAUACAAUGGUCGGUACAGAGGGUAGCCAAGCCGCGAGGUGGAGCCAAUCUCACAAAACCGAUCGUAGUCCGGAUUGCACUCUGCAACUCGAGUGCAUGAAGUCGGAAUCGCUAGUAAUCGCAGGUCAGCAUACUGCGGUGAAUACGUUCCCGGGUCUUGUACACACCGCCCGUCACACCAUGGGAGUGGGGGAUACCAGAAGUAGGUAGGAUAACCGCAAGGGGUCCGCUUACCACGGUAUGCUUCAUGACUGGGGUGAAGUCGUAACAAGGUAGCCGUAGGGGAACCUGCGGCUG
RNAcentral lists this ribosomal RNA (1521 nucleotides) under Neisseria meningitidis. RNAcentral describes it as "bacterial SSU rRNA". It matches the Rfam family "Bacterial small subunit ribosomal RNA". Lineage: Bacteria; Pseudomonadati; Pseudomonadota; Betaproteobacteria; Neisseriales; Neisseriaceae. RNAcentral also lists the same sequence under 1 other name. The record is from RNAcentral.